Manis javanica (Malayan pangolin) is the source of this 826-nucleotide non-coding RNA. Lineage: Eukaryota; Metazoa; Chordata; Mammalia; Pholidota; Manidae. The record is from RefSeq and is a predicted model, not a curated record.
CUCGGGGGCUAGGAACUGAGGGUUAAGUGAGGCUACGGGCCAGGUAGCGGUCGCUUCCAUCCUUGAAGUGGAGCGGAAAUGCUACUUUCUUCCUGCCAGGGGACGCGGUUGGGCUCUAGGGCUGCAUCAACGCAGAAACAUGGGUUGGACGCAGCUGGAAUGGGAACAGGGUCUCUCAAACUGUUUGCAAGUCAGAAAGAAAUCAUUCUGUUGGUCAUUAAUGAUUAUCAAGGUAAAGAGAAUCACAGAGAGGAGGCUGAACUAGACCGAAAACACUGAAUCACAUACAGUGAACUUAACGCUGCUCUAUAAAAAGUCAAGCUCAGCUCUGCAGUGACUAUUCAUGAUCUCCCUGGGGAAAGUGCAGCAACAGUCAUGCAAUGAAGAGUUUGACGCAUUCAAGGAGGCACCAACAUUUGAGAGCAGUUGUUAUUCACCUAAGACCACAAUAGGUACAGGCUGUAAAGUAAGGCAAACCGUCGCGUUGGUCCUGGACCGCGGCCCCUUUUUCGGGGCCGGACUCUGGUAGCCACUUCCCAGGCCCCGCCCCUCAUCGUGAUACCGUAAGUGCGCCUGCGCGUUUGCGUAUGCACGUGCGCGGGGCGUCGGCCAUCUGAGCUACGCGCUGCAGCCUGCCGCUGACGUGAAGUAUUUCUCUGCGGCGUCCGCCCUCGGUACGACCUCGCAGGAGGCGAGAGACCCCGACGAGGCGCGCGGCCUCAAAGGGGGCUCGCCUAGCGCACAUCCCUAUCCGCCGCAGCCUCCAGCACGUGCUCCGGGGUGCCGGCUCUUCAUCCGCCGGGGUCGCGACGGCCGCGGCGCGAGA